GGAACUUUCAGCCCUCCCCACUGACCUCCGGGAAGGGGAAGCGGGGGCUGCAGAUUAAGCUCUAUCGAAACUCUUGAGCAACAAGAUUUGAUGAGCUUGGGGGUUGGUGAAUGCAUCCACGUGCUGGGGGGGCUGCACACCUCAGUUCCACCUCUGAAACUCCUGUGCUUGGGAUCCUUCCAGACCUUGCCCUAUGUACCCUUUCAUCUGGUUAUUCAUCCUAUUCAACUUCCCCUCUUGCUCAAGCUCGACCUCGAGGACUACCUUCUGCACUGCAGCUUACACUUCCCACUGGUUAAGAUUCGGGGUCUCCCCGUGACUAUCCUGCCUCAGCAGGACUCAGAUUACUGGAGAAAUAUAUCACAUACUGUGGAAAAUGCAGAAACAAAAAUUAAAGAAAAGUACAAGAACAUACAAGAGAAAGCAAAAACACUUGUAAUCUGAUUACCUAGAGAUAAACACUGUUAAUGUUUUUUGAAUAUCCUUCCAGUCUUUUUUCCACGUACAUGAGAUUUUAUGACAAAAAUUCAUUUUUGUAUUUAGCAACUUCCCACCCAGUGCUGAUCCAAGAAGAGACUUUUUUAUUCAGAAAAUUAUUUGCUAAGUUCCCUGAGGGGUAUACCGGAGGAAAAAAAUAUAUUGUUGGUUUUUGGUUUACUACCAAAUUUUCAUUUUCUGAGUGGCCAUUUAACGAAGGACAAGAGCCGACUUGCUCAGGCAGUGAGCAGACUUGAGGAGUUGGCAAUGGUGGACGGGAAGCAUGUGGCAGAGAGGAGUGACAGGUGGGGUCACACUGCUGACAAAGGAAGAGAAUUUUCGAGGAAAGAACAGAUGUCCAUGGAGGAAUUUGAUUACAUUUCUGUCUCCAUACAAGAUCUUCACUAAAACCUGUGUUGCUCACCAGUGGAUGGUGGAGUAAAUUUGCUAUUGGGAACAACGUGAAUGUACCAGCAGUGGAAUAUGGUGGGAGGAGAGCAAGAGCAAAGGCUUGCCAUAGGGUUGCACCAGAAAGAGACAUAGCCUGUAUACUUAGAGAUGUGGUCGGGCCUUAAGGAAACUAUGGCUGAUCCUACACACACAACUCUCUUAGCAUUUUCCUAUGUAAUUUAAUAAUCUCCUAAAGUGUUCUACCUGGGCCAAGACUAGUUAUAAAAAUCUACUUCUUCCUGGGCUCCUUUGCAGACAGAUGUGGCCAUGUGACUGAGUUUUAGUCAAAGGAGACUGGAAAUGGUUUCUACCAUUGCUGGGUCCAGGCUUUUGAGAAGCAAGGUUUCCCUCCUUAUCCUCCUUCCCCUUCUGCCAGCUUGUUGAGGGUGAUGACAAAGCCAUAGCAGAUGGGGAAGCCAAAAGAUAGAAGGAGCCUGGGUUCCUGAAAAACUAGUGGAACCAUGUGGAAGAGAGUCAACCACUGACCAGGAACACUUGCUUCAGAUUGUUAUGCCAGGGAAGAGUCCAUUUCUAU
RNAcentral lists this long non-coding RNA (1462 nucleotides) under Equus caballus (horse). RNAcentral's name for it is "lncRNA (ENSECAG00000053560.1)". The record is from RNAcentral. Lineage: Eukaryota; Metazoa; Chordata; Mammalia; Perissodactyla; Equidae.